UUCGGCAAGCAGCCAUUAACUACCAUUUUCCUAAACAACUCACAUGCUUCAUUUGAUAGUCCUCCUUUCAAAAGUCCACUGAUCAUGACAGUAUAUGUAACCACAGUAGGUUGUAUUCCUUUAACAAAAAGAUUGGAGAACAGUUCCCUUGCAGCUUCAAGCUUGCCAAAAUUGCACAUCCCUUGAAUAAGGAUAUUAUAAAUGCAAAUAUGCGGUUCUAUCUUGCUCUCCUGCAUUGCCUUGAGCAGUCUGAAUGCCUCAUCCAAAUGUCCAUGUUUGCAUAAGCCAUCUAGCAAAAUCGAAUAAGUCAUCGAAUCUGGAAGCAGGCCAUAAGAACACAUCUCCUUAAAAAGCUUCUGUGCAACCUGAGGUCUCCCUGCUUGGCAAAAACCUUGCAUAAGAGUACUGUAAGUGACAGUAUCGGGAGUCAAAUCUCUGUCAUACAUUUCAGAAAGGAGUGUUUUCGCCUCAUUCAGCCUUCUACUCUUACAGUGCCCAUUGAUUAGUAUGUUGUAAACCCGAACACUAGGUGCAAAACCCUUGCCAACCAUGAUGUCGAACAAUUUUUGGGCUUCAUCCAUUUGGCUUUGUAAACAGUAUCCGUCCAUCAAAGCACUGUAAGUGUAAGCAUCUGGUUCUACACCGUUUUCAGUCAUCAUUUCAAAGACACGCCAAGCUUCUAAAAUCAUCCCUUCUUUGCAGAGUCCAUCAACCAAAAUAGUGAAUGUCACCGUAUUUGGCAUAACAUUCCUUUCAAUCAUUUGUUGGAACAAGCUUUUGCUUCAUUCAACUGACCCAAAUUGCAAAAACCGUGCAGAAUUGAGCUGUAGGUAACAACAUUUGGUGGAAUGCCCUGAUCAACCAUUUCAGAAAAGAAAUCCAUGGCUUCAUUGACCCGUCUAUCUUUACAAAGGCUAUCUAUGACUGUAUUAUAUGCCACCACGUCUGGCUUACAACCUUUUUCUUCCAUCUUCUUGAGCAACUGAAGUGCAUUGGUCGUGUGGCCGAUUUUGCAUAAACCUUUAAUUAUAGUAGUAUAAGUAAUCAAACUAGGUGCAAAACCCAUCUUUCCCAUCUCAUCAAAUAAUUUUACAGCAUCGAUGAUUUUGGCCUUAGAGCAAAGGCCGUUAAGGAGGGUGCCGAAAGUGACAUGAGUAGGUUGAAGACCAAGUUUGAACAUUUUACCCAGAGCAGAGAAAGCAAAGUGAACAUGAUCACGGUUGGAGUGGCAGAGGCAGUUAAUCAAAAUGGUAAGAGUAUAAACAUUAGGUCUGAUAUUUGACAAAUCCAUUUGUUUGCAGAGGGAAAUUACAGUAGAGUAAUGUUUCUUUUUCACAAGGGACCCUAAUAACUUGUUAAAGACCACCACGGGUGGCAAUGGACGAAUGUUAAGCAACUGAUUGAAAGAAGCAACGGCAUCGGCAACACUAUGAAGAUUGUUAUAGUUACUACAAAACCCACCAUUUGUUAUGGAGGAAGGGCUAAUAUUGGUGGUAGAAGCUGUAGAAGUAGUGAAGUGCUGGUGAAUGAAGAAUAAGAAAGAAGGGAAUUUAGGAAAAGUACCCAUUUCCAUUUGUUGGUGUUGAAGAAGCUGAAAAGCACAAGAAGCAGAAGCUGGGAAAGUGCUUUUCCGCAUCAUCAUGUUCGAAAGCGAAAGCGAAAGCAUAAGAAAAAGCUGCUGUCUCCUAGUGUUCAUAAAGAAGUGAAAGCAAACCUAAGUAGCCAAUCUCUCACUCUCACAACUCCAGACUUCCGUUCAGUCUUUCUCCCGUCUUUAGUAAUGAAUGGAUAAACCAGAAGGAACCCAUUGGACCUAUUUUCUAAAUCCACGUAGAUGACACUAAAAACUAUUUUUGCCACUGAUUUUUUUUUUAUUUCAUCAUUACAUACUGGAUUUAUUAUUUGAAAUGGAUAAUUUGAUGAUAAAUUGAUACGUGAUAUAAUAAAAUAAAAUUUUAUUUUAUUAAAUAAAAAUAAUUAAGACUUUAGAGACCAAGUUUGGUAUUGAAAUAAAUAAGCAGGGUUUUUUUUAUUUAUUUAUUUUAUAACAUUCACAAGUCUAACAAGUCUGAUAUUAUAUACCCACACAUGCCUAGCUUUCCUUUUGUUUUGGACUAGGAGCUGGAGCUGGCCCAUCUAGACCCAUGAGUGAGGGUUUUUUUUUAAUUAGAAUUCUUUAAAAUAAAAUGAUAAUAAUUUUAUUUAGAGUAUUGAUUCAUUAAAUACUAUUUGGUUUUGAAUUUGUUUUCCAAUAAAAUCAAGAUUUUUUUUAUAAAAUUAACGAGCACUCUUUAUAUACGGCCCUCCAUGAUUUUUUUUUCCUUAAAGUUUAAUCAAAAUUUAUUAUAAUAAGAUAGAUAAAAUUAUAAUUAAGAUGCUAUUUCAUUGGGUAUUGUUCGAUUUGACAUUUAUUCUCAAAUAAAAUUCUAGUUUUUUCUUAUAAUGUUAGCAAUAAUCUCUUAUAUUAUAAGAGGCGAGAGAAGGGAAAAAAAAGAGAGAGAGGCUGUAAUCACUGAUAUAUAAUUACAAAACAAAACCUGCCAUAAACCUCCAUGGACAUGAUUAAAUGCCACCUCCAGAAGUUCCUGAAGAUUCAGCAACCUCUUCCAAUCUGAUGACAUGCAUGGUCGGUUGCCUUUAACCAAAUGCAUAUUCCUAGAGAAGCUUGCAUUAAUUUCCAGCAAGAACAUUUAAGUCAUUGAACAGAAAGAUUAUACAUAGAGAUACAAAAAUAAGGUAAGAGUUUACAACUAGCAAGAUUCAUUUGCAAUGCCAUUUAUUAUCACCAACAUUCAGAUACUGGCAACUGUAUUCCCUUUGAAACUGCUACUUUCCAUUUUUCAAAUCUGAUAGUCUUAAGCACUUGUAAUAAAUAAAAUAUUAUCAGUAUAUAAACAAUUAAUGGAUCAUCUAUUCGUAUUUGAGAAAUCACUCAUCAAAGCUGAAAAUAUGAGUACAGUAACUUGUAAGGGGUACAAAAAUCUAACUAUUUUGAAGAAAGCCAAUGCAUGGAAACUGCACUUGAUAGGAAAAUUUCACUUCAUUUUUCUACCUUGAGAGUUUCCAUGUAGAUAUCGUCUUAUGAUUUCAUCAUAAGAUUCCAGAUCCAAUAACAUCUGAAAUGUAGAUGAAUCUGCAGAGAGCCCUCUACCUGCCAUCUCUUCGAUUAGUUGUACUGCAUUUGAUGUGUCACCGUUUCGAAGAAAUCCUUGGAUUAUAAGGUUGUGAGUGCAACUAUUCAGCAAGUAGCCAUCAACUGCCAUCUUUCUAAACAACUCACAUGCUUCAUUUGAUAGUCCUUCUUUCAAAAGUCCACUGAUCAUGACAUUAUAUGUAACCACAUCAGGUUGUAUCCCUUUAACAAAAAGAUUGGAGAACAGUUCCCUUGCAGCUUCAAGCUUGCCAAAAUUGCACAUCCCUCGAAUAAGGAUAGUAUAAAUGAAAAUAUCAGGUUCUAUCCUUCUCUCCUGCAUUGCCUUGAGCACUUCGAAUGCCUCAUCCAAAAGGCCAUGUUUGCAUAAGCCAUCUAGCACAAUUGAGUAAGUUAUCAAAUCCGGAAGCAGGCCAUACGAACACAUCUCCUUAAAAAGCUUCUGUGCAUCCUGAGGUCUCCCAUCUUGGCAAAAACCUUUCAUAAGAGUGUUAUAAGUGACUGUAUCAGGAGUCAAUGCUUUAUGAGACAUUUCAGCAAGGAGUACUUUUGCCUCAUCAAUCCUUCCACUCUUACAGUGCCCCUUGAUCAAUAUGUUAUAACUUCGAACACUAGGUGCGCAACCCUUGCGAACCAUGAUGUUGAACAAUUUUUGGGCCUCGUCCAUUUGGCUUCUUAAACAGUAUCCAUCCAUCAAAGCAUUGUAAGUGUAAACAUUUGGUUCUGCACCCUUUUCAGUCAUCCUUUCAAAAACACACCGAGCUUCUGAAAUCAUCCCUUCUUUGCAGAGUCCAUCAACCAAAAUAGUGAAUGUCACUGUGUUUGGCAUAACAUUCCUUUCAACCAUUUGAUUGAACAAGCUUGUUGCUUCAUUCAAUCGACCCAAAUUGCAAAAGCCGUGCAGAAUCGAGCUGUAAGUAACAACAUUUGGUGGAAUGCCCCGAUCAAACAUUUCAAAUAGGAAUUCAGUGGCUUGGUUUACGCGUUUAUCCUUGCAAAGGCUAUCUAUGAUAGUAUUAUAUGUCGCCACUGCUGGCGUACAACCUUUUUCUUCCAUCUUCUUGAUCAAAUGAAGAGCCCUGGUCGUGUUGCCGGUUUUGCAUAAACCAUUAAUUAUAGUGCUAUAAGUAAUCACAUCAGGUUCAUACCCCAUCUUUAGCAUCUCAACAAACAUUUUUUCUGCAUCAGUGAUUUUGGCCUUGGAUAAAAGGCCGUUAAAUAGGGUAUUGAAAGUGACAUUAGUAGGGGGAAGACCAAGUUUGAACAUUUUACCAAAAGCAGAGAAAGCAAAAUGAAAUGAUCAUGGUUGGAGUGGCAGAAGCAGUUAAUCAAAAUGGUAAGAGUAUAAACGUCAGGUCUGAUAUUUGACAAAUCCAUUUGUUUGCAGAGAGAAAUUACAGUUGAGUAAUGUUUCUUUUUGACAAGGGACCCUAAUAACUGGUUAAAUUCCACAAGGGGUGGCAUUGGACGAAUGCUAAGCAACUCAUUGAAAGAAGCAACGGCAUCGGCAACACUAUGAAGAGUGCUAUAAUUAUUACAAAACCCACCAUUGUUUCUCCAGGAAGGACUAAUUUUGGUGGUAGAAGCUGUAGGAGUAGUGAUUUGCUGGUGAGUGAAGAAUAAGAAAGAAGGGAAUUUAGGAAAAAAACCGAUUUCCAUUUGUCGUUGUUGAAGCUCAAAGAGAGAAGCAGAAGCUGUAAAGGUGGAUUUCCACAUCAUUAUUUGCAAAGCAGAAGCUUAGCCCAACAAAACCUGCUCCCAGUCUCACUCAAGAAAGUUAGCGGUUGUCACUGAGACUGAAACACGCAAGCUGAGGGGCUUCUCUUUUUAGGGUUUUCCAAAUUGCGCUCAUCAUAAAACCCAAUGCACCAUUUCAUUUUAGGAUUACUUGCCUCGGCGCGAGGACCUUUUUUAUUAUUAUUAUUAUUAUUUUAAAUGAUAUUUAGAUGCCAAAUUGAGAUAAAAAAAAAUAAUAAUACAAAAAAGCAGUUAUUAUAAAUUUGUAAUUUGAUAAUUAGAGUAAAGCUAAUUUGGGAUAUUUUACUAAACUUGUAUUUUAAAUUAUGAAAUUAAAAUACCAUUAUAUAUAUAUAUAUAAAAAGGAUUAUGAAGAUUUUUUUAAAAAAAUAAUUCAUGCUAACUUUUCAAAUUUAUGAUCUAGUUUAUUAGAUCUAAAUUAUCUAAUCAGAAAAAAAACCAUGAAAUUUAAUUUUUAAUUAAUCAAAUAUUGAAAGUUGAAACUAAAAAAAAAUUUUGAAUUAUAAUUUUUUUUUUAAAUAACAAUUAAAAAAAUUAAAAUUAAAAUUAAAAAAAAAUAAUUUUUUAUUUGAUUGGAGAACAAAAUUAAAAAGAAAAAUAAAUUUAACAAAAAGACCAAAAAAUAUCAAGAAAAUGAGGAUAAAAAAUGACACAAAAAUAAAAAUAAUGUUAAGAUUGAGGAGUCAAAUUAAAAAGAACAAUAACUUUUAUAAAAGGACCAAGAAAACAAUUAGAAAUCAAAACAAUAAAAACUAAAUUAAAAAAUAUAAUAUUAUCAAUUUAAAUUGAAUGAUAAAAUUAAAAAUAAAUAAAUUUUUUAUAAAAUGACAAAGAAAAGAUAGAAAUUAAAAAAAUAAAAAUCAAAUUAAAAAAUAUAAUAUUUGAUAAAUUAAAAUUGAAAGAUAAGAUUGAAAACAAAUAAAACUUAAAGUUAAGAACAAAAUAAAAAAUUAAAAGAAUAAGAACUAUAGUUAAAAUACCAACAACAAAAACAAUCAAGCUCUACUUUUUAAGGGAGAAAAGAGAAAAAUAAAUUAUAUUUCAAAAAUAUUUUAAAAUUAUUUUUUUUCAGAUUAUUUUAAAAUUUUCAACAUCAAUACAUAAAAAACAAUAAAAAAACAAAUCUAUAAACGUUUUUUCUAAUAAUAUUAAAUGCUUGUAUUAUUAAUAGAUGGACCCACCAGAAAAUACAAGCACAUUAAAAAGUUAGACCUUGACAAACCCAGCAAUUCUUGGAAAAAACAGCCUGAAAAAAGUGAAAACCACACUAUCCUAGAUCAAGUGCUAUCUAGGGUAUUAUUUUGAUAUCUUGAUCAUGCACAUCACUACCAAGCUCUAAGGGGUAUCCUUGCCCUGCUUUAAGGUUGCUUUCAUGAGGUUCAACACAACAGAUGCUAACUCAGUUAGAUGUGAAGUGUAGCAGUGAUUUGCUCCUUCUAUGAUGUGUAGAUUGUGAUUUGGUAUGAUCUUGGCAAACUCAAACGCAUCCUCCACCGGGAUGAUUUCAUCAGCAGAUCCAUGAACGGUGAAGACCCUGCAAUCCUUCUUGAUCGCCAGACAAGCUUCAUGCAUAUCGGUACUCAGGCGAUCCAUCAGACCUUCCUUGGUGACACGAUAAAUGACACUCCCCGUUCCAUCCUUAACAUCAAUGAAUCCAUCUUGUUUGAUCUUUUCCAUAAAACCCUUUCCAGUUCGUUCUUCAAUGCCUCUCUUCAGAUCAUAGCGGCCAGAAACAUUGAAAACUGUGCUGAUAUCCUGAUAUUUUGAAGCAUAUAGGAGCACCACAUCGCCUCCUUUACUAUGCCCAAGAAUUGCACUUACGCCUCUGCUUGGGCUUGCUCCUCGGAAGUGUUCGAUUACAGCACGUAAAUCAUCAGCCUCUCUCCGGUAAUUUCCAUAUGAAAAUGAACCUUCACUUUCCCCAUUUCCAGCCAAGUCGAAACGGAAGGCAGAGAUUCCUUCCUUUUCUAAUGCCUUGGCAAGAUUCACCAUGAUAUCGUUUUCCUUUGUGGAACAAAAACCAUGGCAUAAUAUAACUAUGUCGUUGGAUCCGGUGUCAUGUAAUAAGCCUAUCAGUUUUUCACCAUGUUUGUUUGCUAUUGUAACUUUCUGCUGCUCAACAACUGGGUUUUGGGCAGACGGAGGGAGAGCCAUCCUUACAGUCACGGUGCGAUUGAAAGAUGAGAAAAAGCGUACCUGCAAGGAGGAAGCAGGGAACCGUCUCGGAGUGGAGGCGGCGCGUAGGUUCACGUGUGAAUGAGAUACUGCGAGCGUGGCCAGCUGGAUCGGGGCAACUUUCUCCCGGAUUCUUCCGAGUACCAGUCAAUCUCUCAAAACAAGACAAUUGAAUUUCAACAACUCUCAAAGACACCAUUUUUAAAGAGCAACCAAUAUUUAGCAUCCCAAUAGAUACACAUACGAUAAAAUAACACAACCGAGAUGAAAAAACAGCCAUAAAAGAUCAAACCAGUUCAAGAAAGAAUCAAAAUGUUAAAAAGAAAUGAUCUUUACUGAAAACCCAACAAGGGAAAGUGAGUCUCGUUACCUGAAAGUAUAUGUUGAAGUCAGAAUCUUCAGCUGGAAUUUUCCCGAGAAAAUGAUAGAAAAUUUGCGAGAAAGUGAGAUAAUAAGAAGUGUGAACAGUGAAAGCAGCGGUGGAGAUUAUUAGGGUGGAGAGAGAGUGUUUAGUACAAUUACAAUAUAUAUAUAUAAAAAUAAAAGUUUAAUUAUACAUGAUACCGACAAAAACUCUAAAACGCGUAGCAAGGCUCCUUUAUUGUUAGUGUUCAUUAUGCUAGAGUAUUGAUUUGACUAGAUUGAAUUAGAUAAAACGUUUGUUUAUUUUUGUAUUUUAAAAGUAUAUUUUUAAAAAUAUUUAAUUUUUUUAUUAUUUUAUUGACUUCAAAUUAAUAUGUUUUUAUUGUUUUCAAAUCAUUUUAAUGUGCUGAUAUUAAAAAUAAUUUUUAAAAAAUUAAAAAAAUCAUAGGCAUGUAUUUUAACACGAAAAAUUAUUUAAAAAACAACCAUAGCCACAUUGUCAAACAAACUCAAAGACCAUAUAAAUAGUCGUCUUGUCUCUUGCUUAGCUUAUUUUGUUUUUGAUAAAUAAUGGACGGAUAAAAUCGAUCCGAGCUGGAUUAUCCUAACCCUGUUUGAUUUGGUUAAUUUACAAUAUUGAGAUAAAACAUAAAUAAAAAAAAUAUUGAUAUUUUUUUAAUUUUUUUUAUCAAAAUAAAGUUACUUUGAUUUUUAAAUAUAUAAUUUGUGACCCAGCCCUUCUUACAUGCUAACUCGUGAGUUAGGUUGAGCCUCUCAAAUCAUGAUUUAAGACUUAUCUUAAGUUAACAUUCAAGUUUGAUUUUUAAAACAUGAUAAUAAAUAUUUUUAUUUUUAUAUUGCCCUGGGUCACCCUGAGUUAACAAUCUUGACCCAUGACUUAAAUCUUGUAUUGAGUCGACCUCAUAGUUAGUUUUUAAAAUUAUGAUAAUAAUUGUUUUUAUCAUUAAAUAGACAUGGGUCUAUGGUCAACCUGACUCGUGAGUCACGUUUUAACCAAGGUUGACCCUUGUCUUAGAUCGACCCCUAUAUCAGGUUUCAAAACUAUAAUAAUAAUAACUUUUAUCUUUACGUUGAUCCCAGUCAAUGAUCAACUUGACUCGUGAACUGAGCCUAGCUCUAAGUUGACUCGCAAGUUAGGUUUUAAAACUAUAAUAAUAAUAAUUUUUAUCCUUAUACUGACUCAAGUUAAUGAUUAACCUGACUUGUGAUCCAAACCUUGCCCCGAGUCGAUCCUUAAGUUUGAUUUUAAAACCAUGAUAAUAACUAUUUUUAUCAUUGCAUUAACCCGAGUCAAUGAUCAAUCCAAUUUGUGAAGUGGACAUUACCAUAGGUUAAUCCUCUAAUCGUAUUUUAAAACCAUAAUAAUAACUAUUUUUAUCUCAACAUUGAUAUGUAUCAACUUAGGUUAAUCCUUACGUAGAGAAUUAGACAAUAUUGUCUUACUUCUUUUAAUGGGAAGAAAAUUUCUCUGCUAAAACAACCUUGGAGAGAAAAAAAUUUAGUUUUUGUAGUGUCUAAAUGUGCACCAAACAAUUUUACAAAAAAAAUUCUCAUCUUAAGUCCAUCAUUAUCCGACAUACCAAACAUCUCCUAAAUAAUUGUCAAAGGAUAUAUGCAUUUUUAAAAAAAUUUAAAAUAAUAAAAUAAUAAAAUUACUCUAAAAUAAAAUAAAAAAUUAAGAUGUUGACAAAGGAUGUUUCUGCUUUUCUGGCCUUUUAAAAUAAAAUAAAAUUAUAUAUUCACCCUUGAAAUCAAGCCAUGCAUCCAAGAGCUUUUUGGUCUUGCUACAUGGGUUUGUUUUGUUAAUUCCACAACCGUGGAGGGCAAUCUAAUCUUAAUUAAUAUUGAAAUUCAAAAAAAAUGUAAGAAAACGGCCUAAAAAUUACAGGUUUACCUCUUUACUUUUGAUAUUUUAAUUUGAGUUUUUAUUUUUUUGAUUUUUAAUUUAAUUUUUUGUUUAUUUUUAAUUUUAUCCUUUAAUUAUAAAUUAUCAUGUAUUAUUCUUAUUUUUUGAUUUCUAAUUUUUCUUUCUAGUUUUCAAUUUAAUCAUUCACCAUGAAAAUACAAAAUACAGAGAUAAAGUAAGAGUUUACAACUAGCAAAAUUCAUUUGCAAUGGCAUUUUAUUAUCACUAACAUUCAGAUACUGGCAACUGUAUUCCCUUUGAAACUGAAACUUUCCAUUUUGCCAUUCUGAUUCACAUUAUCAAUAUAUAAUCAAUUAAUGGAUCAUCUAUUCACAUUAGUAGUAAUAGUCACUGGCGCGUGAGAAAUUGCUCAUCAAAGCUCAAAAUAUGAGCAGUGCAAAAACUUGAGAGGGUGUACAAAAACCUAACUAUUUUGAAGAAAACUACACUUGAUAGGAAAAUUUCACUUCGUUUUUCUAUCUUGAGAGCUUCCACGCAUAAAUUGACUUAUGAUUUCAUCAUCGAUUCCAGAUCCGAUAGCAUUCUAAAUGUAGACGAAUCUGCUGAGAAUCCUUUACCAACCAUCUCUUCGAUUAGCCGUACUGCAUUUGAUGUGUCACCGUUUCGAAGAAAUCCUUGGAUUAUAACAUUGUAAGUGCAACCAUUCGGCAAGCAGCCAUUAACUGCCAUUUCUCUAAACAACUCACAUGCUUCAUUUGAUAGCCCUCCUUUCAAAAGUCCACUGAUCAUGACAGUAUAUGUAACCACAGUAGGUUGUAUUCCUUUAACAAAAAGAUUGGAGAACAGUUCCCUUGCAGCCUCAAGCUUGCCAAAAGUGCACAUCCCUUCAAUAAGGAUAGUAUAAAUGAAAAUAUUAGGUUCUAUCUUGCUCUCCUGCAUUGCCUUGAGCAGUUCGAAUGCCUCAUCCAAAUGGCCAUGUUUGCAUAAGCCAUCUAG
This 10331-nucleotide long non-coding RNA is filed under the name Populus tremula. RNAcentral's name for it is "long non-coding RNA (PTRE_LNC000854)". Lineage: Eukaryota; Viridiplantae; Streptophyta; Magnoliopsida; Malpighiales; Salicaceae. The record is from RNAcentral.